Long non-coding RNA from Magnolia sinica, 606 nucleotides. RefSeq lists it as uncharacterized. NCBI's taxonomy places the organism in Eukaryota, Viridiplantae, Streptophyta, Magnoliopsida, Magnoliales, Magnoliaceae. The transcript has 2 exons. The record is from RefSeq and is a predicted model, not a curated record.
UCUCUCUCUCUCUCACACACACACACACACACACACACACUCUCUCUCUCUCUCUCUCUCUCUCUCUCUCUCUCUCUCUCUCUCUCUCUCUCUCUCUCAAAAGCAAAAUCUCUACAACCCUCUCAUAUUGGAAUUAUCAGUGGAGCACCAGUCGGUUGAGCUCCGGUCAGAACUAAGGUAGCAGAGGCAUUUUUGUGGUGCUUUCCAGAUCAUCAUCACUCCAAGAACUGAAGAUUAAUGCAGAUGAUAUCUAUAUGUACUAUGGGCAACAUGGUACUAAAUCUGGUUGAGUUGGAGUUGCGCCUGACUCUGGCUAAAUCUCGAAUCAGGUUUUAGGAUGAACCAUCCUCGAUCGUAUGGACCAAUGACUAGUCAAGAUAGAAAGUCUUCACCAUUGUGGCCGCUUAUUAUUUGAUGCCAUCUCCCUACGCAUUGUUACUAUUGGAAUCUUGUUAUUAGACUUGUUGGAUGAUUGUAUUAAAGGAUUACUUCGAGUCUCUAGAUUGCGAGACUCGUCAUGUUUGUUCUAGAUCGACUCGUGUAUACACUAGCUUUGACUAAUCUUUAGAGGUAAAGAUGUGUGGAGAGUUUAAGGUCUUGGUAUAA